This 207-nucleotide ribosomal RNA is filed under the name uncultured bacterium. RNAcentral's name for it is "partial 16S ribosomal RNA". It matches the Rfam family "Bacterial small subunit ribosomal RNA", at positions 568 to 774 of the family's 1533-position model. The record is from RNAcentral.
CGUGUAGGCGGUUAGGCAAGUCAGGUGUGAAAUCCCUUGGCUCAACCAAGGAAGUGCAUUUGAAACUGCUUAACUAGAGUACAGUAGGGGAAAGUGGAAUUCCCAGUGUAGAGGUGAAAUUCAUAGAUAUUGGGAGGAACACCGGUAGCGAAGGCGGCUUUCUGGCCUGAUACUGACGCUGAGACGCGAAAGCGUGGGGAGCAAACA